Zootermopsis nevadensis is the source of this 1207-nucleotide long non-coding RNA. RefSeq lists it as uncharacterized. Lineage: Eukaryota; Metazoa; Arthropoda; Insecta; Blattodea; Termopsidae. The record is from RefSeq and is a predicted model, not a curated record.
GUAAGCCAUCUAGUUAGUUAGUUAGUUAGUUAGUUAGUACAUAUUUUUCGGAAGACUCGGAUCGCCAUCAUGUUGGUAUUGUCCAACGCAGUUUUAAGCUUCGUUACUUCACAUAAAAACAUAAAACUUCUUUAUUUAUUUGUAAGUAUAUUUCUGCACAGCAUUUAUCAACAACCGUUUCCAUGGAAACUGAGGUCUCCAUGACUCCAUGGCAACAAAACUGCCAUGACGAAGUCACUGGCUGUUCUGUGAAUGGGGCAAGGUAGAUUCAACAAGUUUUGUACCAUCAAGUGACAGUUUUACCGUGGAAACGCGGAUUGAAUCAAAGAUAAUGAAUAUGCAAGAAAGACUUCGGAAAUUAAUGAACUGCAGAGUCAACAGGACAACGAACCAAGAAACGAUUAAAGAAAUGAGGGCAGAACGGGUCGACAAACUCCCUGGAUGAUUACGAUAAGAACGUUCUAACUCUCGCAAUUACCUACAAUUUGACAACAGGUCCUGGCCGAACAGAGGGAACAGCGGUUUAUGGCGUGGGUACUGGCCACUCGAAAUCUGGGAUCGUGGGAUUGAAUCCCACUCUAAGCGUGAAUGUUCUGUGUUAUGUAGACAGACGCCAUGCGUCGGGCCGACCUUCUGUCCAGUUAGUCCCACCAAACGUAAAAGAAAAGUUAGAAAAUCCGGCAGAAAAUUUCAUCAGAAACAAAUCAAUGUGCGAUGCCCAAUGUAGCAACUGCAACACGCGUAUCCCUACAGAUCACACUUUUCUUUAUGGCAAACUGAAUUUCCGGCCCAUGCCUUGAUUUCUAGUUCUUUGUAAUUCCACAAUAACAGCAAUUCGCAGAGCAGAAUGACGGUUAUAAAGUUUAAAUUCUAAAAUUUGUUUUUGUCCACUGAAUUCUACACAGAAAUGUAAAAAAGGAGCAUGGUUGAGCAGUAGACCCUACUUGUCUGUGGUGGGUGUGGUGUCGUCACGCCAACCAACCCAGACGAUCAAAUUUAAAAGUUCAGGAGAAAUUCGCCUAAAAACCGAACAAGCAUCGAAGAAUGAGGAUAACUGCCUUGUCCUGUUUAAGGUAGAGUACUAAUUUACCGAUCCCAUUAGACGGGCGGAUUUGACGUGAGCACAAACGAAGGGAUCACGAGUUCAUUUCCCGCUCACGAUAUACCUGUCAUGUGAUUUUUCAUCACAGCCAAUAAUCCAACUCAC